UUGAUCCUGGCUCAGGAUGAACGCUAGCGGCAGGCUUAACACAUGCAAGUCGAGGGGCAGCGAGAUCAGUGCUUGCACUGAUCGUCGGCGACCGGCGCACGGGUGCGUAACGCGUAUGCAACCUACCCAUUACAGGGGGAUAACACUGAGAAAUCGGUACUAAUACCCCAUAACAUCCAGGGAGGCAUCUUCUUGGGUUGAAAACUCCGGUGGUAAUGGAUGGGCAUGCGUUGUAUUAGUUAGUUGGUGGGGUAACGGCUCACCAAGACAACGAUACAUAGGGGGACUGAGAGGUUAACCCCCCACAUUGGUACUGAGACACGGACCAAACUCCUACGGGAGGCAGCAGUGAGGAAUAUUGGUCAAUGGACGCAAGUCUGAACCAGCCAUGCCGCGUGCAGGAAGACGGCUCUAUGAGUUGUAAACUGCUUUUGUACGAGGGUAAACGCAGAUACGCGUAUCUGUCUGAAAGUAUCGUACGAAUAAGGAUCGGCUAACUCCGUGCCAGCAGCCGCGGUAAUGCGGAGGAUUCAAGCGUUAUCCGGAUUUAUUGGGUUUAAAGGGUGCGUAGGCGGUCGGAUAAGUUAGAGGUGAAAUCCCGGGGCUCAACUUCGGAAUUGCCUCUGAUACUGUUCGGCUAGAGAGUAGUUGCGGUAGGCGGAAUGUAUGGUGUAGCGGUGAAAUGCUUAGAGAUCAUACAGAACACCGAUUGCGAAGGCAGCUUACCAAGCUACUUCUGACGUUGAGGCACGAAAGCGUGGGGAGCAAACAGGAUUAGAUACCCUGGUAGUCCACGCAGUA
This 801-nucleotide ribosomal RNA is filed under the name uncultured bacterium. Its description in RNAcentral is "bacterial SSU rRNA". It matches the Rfam family "Bacterial small subunit ribosomal RNA", at positions 13 to 804 of the family's 1533-position model. The record is from RNAcentral.